AUGUCGUCUCCCUCCUCCAACAAUGGUGACAACGAUGCUUGGCUAGUGAAGAUAGAUCUGAAGAGGGAAGAACCCACGAAGGUCAACAAGGAUGAAAUGAUCAAGAAGGCCACGGAGGAUCAAGCUCCAGCAGCAGAAGACACCCUUCAAAUUGAUCAUAACCUUCUUACCCCAACUGAGAUCGAAGCUUUCAAGAUGAUUGAGUUAGCUCGUGUUCAAAACAAGUAUCUCACACAAGAAAAUAUUUUGCUGAAGGAGCAUAUUGUCGCACUCAAGGGCAUUAUUCGCAAGCUGGAGGACCUCUUAUGCUCGAUGUGCGAUUAUCCGUCACCUCCACCUUCGCCAUCUCCUCCAACAAAGAAGAAUUGA
RNAcentral lists this ribosomal RNA (369 nucleotides) under Triticum aestivum (bread wheat). Its description in RNAcentral is "partial small subunit ribosomal RNA". The record is from RNAcentral. Lineage: Eukaryota; Viridiplantae; Streptophyta; Magnoliopsida; Poales; Poaceae.